AGUGAACGCUGGCGGUAGGCCUAACACAUGCAAGUCGAACGGCAGCACAGUAAGAGCUUGCUCUUACGGGUGGCGAGUGGCGGACGGGUGAGGAAUACAUCGGAAUCUACUUUUUCGUGGGGGAUAACGUAGGGAAACUUACGCUAAUACCGCAUACGACCUACGGGUGAAAGCAGGGGAUCUUCGGACCUUGCGCGAUUGAAUGAGCCGAUGUCGGAUUAGCUAGUUGGCGGGGUAAAGGCCCACCAAGGCGACGAUCCGUAGCUGGUCUGAGAGGAUGAGUCGAGAAAGUGGAACGAAGACAAGGGCGAGAAUCCUACGGGAGGCAGCAGCGGGGGAGAGUGAACAAUGGGCGCAAUCCUGAUCCAGACAUACCGCGUAGGUAAAGAAGGCCUUCGGGUUCUAAAGCCUUUUUGCUGAGAAAGAAAAGAAGCAGGUUAAUACCCCGCGGCUCUGACGGUACCCAAAGAAUAAGCACCGGCUAACUUCGUG
This 492-nucleotide ribosomal RNA is filed under the name uncultured bacterium. RNAcentral's name for it is "partial 16S ribosomal RNA". It matches the Rfam family "Bacterial small subunit ribosomal RNA", at positions 29 to 507 of the family's 1533-position model. The record is from RNAcentral.